This 460-nucleotide ribosomal RNA is filed under the name uncultured bacterium. RNAcentral describes it as "partial 16S ribosomal RNA". It matches the Rfam family "Bacterial small subunit ribosomal RNA", at positions 338 to 795 of the family's 1533-position model. The record is from RNAcentral.
CCUACGGGAGGCAGCAGUGAGGAAUAUUGGUCAAUGGACGAGAGUCUGAACCAGCCAAGUAGCGUGAAGGAUGACUGCCCUAUGGGUUGUAAACUUCUUUUAUAUGGGAAUAAAAUGUUCCACGUGUGGGAUUUUGUAUGUACCAUAUGAAUAAGGAUCGGCUAAAUCCGUUCCAGCAGCCGCGGUAAUACGGAGGAUCCGAGCGUUAUCCGGAUUUAUUGGGGUUAAAGGGAGCGUAGGUGGAUUGUUAAGUCAGUUGUGAAAGUUUGCGGCUCAACCGUAAAAUUGCAGUUGAAACUGGCAGUCUUGAGUACAGUAGAGGUGGGCGGAAUUCGUGGUGUAGCGGUGAAAUGCUUAGAUAUCACGAAGAACUCCGAUUGCGAAGGCAGUUCACUGGACUGCAACUGACACUGAGGCUCGAAAGUGUGGGUAUCAAACAGGAUUAGAUACCCUGGUAGUC